AUUGAACGCUGGCGGCAGGCCUAACACAUGCAAGUCGAGCGGAUGAAGGGAGCUUGCUCCUAGAUUCAGCGGCGGACGGGUGAGUAAUGCCUAGGAAUCUGCCUGGUAGUGGGGGAUAACGUCCGGAAACGGGCGCUAAUACCGCAUACGUCCUGAGGGAGAAAGUGGGGGAUCUUCGGACCUCACGCUAUCAGAUGAGCCUAGGUCGGAUUAGCUAGUUGGUGGGGUAAAGGCCUACCAAGGCGACGAUCCGUAACUGGUCUGAGAGGAUGAUCAGUCACACUGGAACUGAGACACGGUCCAGACUCCUACGGGAGGCAGCAGUGGGGAAUAUUGGACAAUGGGCGAAAGCCUGAUCCAGCCAUGCCGCGUGUGUGAAGAAGGUCUUCGGAUUGUAAAGCACUUUAAGUUGGGAGGAAGGGCAGUAAGUUAAUACCUUGCUGUUUUGACGUUACCAACAGAAUAAGCACCGGCUAACUUCGUG
Molecule: ribosomal RNA, 484 nt
Filed under: uncultured bacterium
Lineage: Bacteria
Description: partial 16S ribosomal RNA
Rfam family: Bacterial small subunit ribosomal RNA
Source: RNAcentral